This 301-nucleotide ribosomal RNA is filed under the name uncultured bacterium. RNAcentral describes it as "partial 16S ribosomal RNA". It matches the Rfam family "Bacterial small subunit ribosomal RNA", at positions 509 to 807 of the family's 1533-position model. The record is from RNAcentral.
CAGCCGCCACGGUAAUACGAAGGGUGCAAGCGUUACUCGGAAUUACUGGGCGUAAAGCGUGCGUAGGUGGUGGUUUAAGUCCGUUGUGGAAGCCCUGGGCUCAACCUGGGAAUUGCAGUGGAUACUGGGUCACUAGAGUGUGGUAGAGGAUAGUGGAAUUUCCGGUGUAGCAGUGAAAUGCGUAGAGAUCGGAAGGAACAUCUGUGGCGAAGGCGACUAUCUGGGCCAACACUGACACUGAGGCACGAAAGCGUGGGGAGCAAACAGGAUUAGAUACCCCAGUAGUCCCUGUCUCUUAUAC